This 1346-nucleotide ribosomal RNA is filed under the name uncultured bacterium. RNAcentral's name for it is "bacterial SSU rRNA". It matches the Rfam family "Bacterial small subunit ribosomal RNA", at positions 28 to 1381 of the family's 1533-position model. The record is from RNAcentral.
GACGAACGCUGGCGGCGUGCUUAACACAUGCAAGUCGAACGGAAAGGCCCUGCUUUUGUGGGGUGCUCGAGUGGCGAACGGGUGAGUAACACGUGAGUAACCUGCCCUUGACUUUGGGAUAACUUCAGGAAACUGGGGCUAAUACCGGAUAGGAGCUCCUGCUGCAUGGUGGGGGUUGGAAAGUUUCGGCGGUUGGGGAUGGACUCGCGGCUUAUCAGCUUGUUGGUGGGGUAGUGGCUUACCAAGGCUUUGACGGGUAGCCGGCCUGAGAGGGUGACCGGCCACAUUGGGACUGAGAUACGGCCCAGACUCCUACGGGAGGCAGCAGAGGGGAAUAUUGCACAAUGGGCGGAAGCCUGAUGCAGCAACGCCGCGUGCGGGAUGACGGCCUUCGGGUUGUAAACCGCUUUCGCCUGUGACGAAGCGUGAGUGACGGUAAUGGGUAAAGAAGCACCGGCUAACUACGUGCCAGCAGCCGCGGUGAUACGUAGGGUGCGAGCGUUGUCCGGUUUUAUUGGGCGUAAAGGGCUCGUAGGUGGUUGAUCGCGUCGGAAGUGUAAUCUUGGGGCUUAACCCUGAGCGUGCUUUCGAUACGGGUUGACUUGAGGAAGGUAGGGGAGAAUGGAAUUCCUGGUGGAGCGGUGGAAUGCGCAGAUAUCAGGAGGAACACCAGUGGCGAAGGCGGUUCUCUGGGCCUUUCCUGACGCUGAGGAGCGAAAGCGUGGGGAGCGAACAGGCUUAGAUACCCUGGUAGUCCACGCUGUAAACGGUGGGUACUAGGUGUGGGGUCCAUUCCACGGGUUCCGUGCCGUAGCUAACGCUUUAAGUACCCCGCCUGGGGAGUACGGCCGCAAGGCUAAAACUCAAAGGAAUUGACGGGGCCCCGCACAAGCGGCGGAGCAUGCGGAUUAAUUCGAUGCAACGCGUAGAACCUUACCUGGGUUUGACAUGGAUCGGGAGCGCUCAGAGAUGGGUGUGCCUCUUUUGGGGUCGGUUCACAGGUGGUGCAUGGCUGUCGUCAGCUCGUGUCGUGAGAUGUUGGGUUAAGUCCCGCAACGAGCGCAACCCUUGUUCACUGUUGCCAGCACGUUAUGGUGGGGACUCAGUGGAGACCGCCGGGGUCAACUCGGAGGAAGGUGGGGAUGACGUCAAGUCAUCAUGCCCCUUAUGUCCAGGGCUUCACGCAUGCUACAAUGGCUGGUACAGAGAGUGGCGAGCCUGUGAGGGUGAGCGAAUCUCGGAAAGCCGGUCUCAGUUCGGAUUGGGGUCUGCAACUCGACCUCAUGAAGUCGGAGUCGCUAGUAAUCGCAGAUCAGCAACGCUGCGGUGAAUACGUUCCCGGGGCU